GUGCGCGCCCCCCUCGCUCCGCUCAACCGCCCAGCGGUUUACUCAGCCAGCCAGGCCUGGGAAAAUCGGGGAGCGCUUCGUAGUUCAAGGUCUGGACCAGAAGUCCUCCCGGCAGCCACCGGGCCUCAUCUUCCUGGCGUGGGCGCCAUCUAGUGGCUGCCCCUGCGCAGAGCCGCCGCGCUCCGGCCGGGAGCAAAGGCUGCUGGGAAGAUGGUGGAGUAGGAGGACCCCGGGCUCAGCUCUUGACGCGUGGUCGCCUAGAAGCACCAACAUCGGCAUAAAUAACUCGGAAAGCAACCGGAUAGCUGGGAGAACGGACUUUCAGCGACCUGACAUAGACAAGAGGCCACAGCGAAGCAGAUAAGACCGGCGGAGAGAUCCAUCCUCUCUGAUCAGUCUUGGCAAGAUCCAUCAAAGCACCGCCACAAGCCUGACCGUUUGUGAGCAGCCUAGAGGAGGGCCAGCACCACUCCAGAGUCCUGCCCCGGAAGAGUGGAGGACAGCCACUCGCCAGUCAGCCUGCAGGCCCCGCCCACCACCAAACGCUUUUCAGGGGAUAACACAGGGAAAGUGCCUGCAGUUUGGGUUUACUUCAUCUCUGGUAGAUGCCUGGUCUGACUCAAGUCAAGCCCAAGGCGGCUCCUGACUGGCCCACCAACACCACCACGACCAGACUCUGCCCACAACAGGCAGCCAUCGCAGGCAGGACUGAAGGCAAACACAGCUCCACCACAACAGUAGGACACCCCUGGGGCAACACACGCAGGAGACACCCCUGAAGUGCCAGGUUCUGGGGAACAGGGGACAUUGCACUGCGGGACCUCUUCAUCAUAAAGCCACUACUUGCAAGUGCAGGAGACAUCGCUAACUUUCCUAACACAGAGAAACAGACACAGCAAUAUACAGAAUGAGAUACAGAGGAAUAUGUCCCAGAUGAAAGAACAGAAACAAAUCACAGCAAGAGACCUAAGCAAAAUGGAGAUAAGAAACAUGUCUGAUACUGAAUUUAAAGUACCGUUCGUAAAGAUCCUCACUGGAUUUGAGAAAGGAAUGCAGAACUUCCAUGAGACCCUCUACCAAGAGUUAGCAGUCUUAACGAAUUAAAGCCACUGGACUUACCGAAUGGAAAUAAAAAUAGACUACGUGGAAUAAAUAGCAAGCAAGAGAAGUAGAAGAAUGCAUCAGCCACAUGGAGGACAGGGUCUUGGAAAGUAAUCAAGCUAAGCAGAUGAGAGGGGAAAAAAAUACGCAAAAUGAGAAUAGACUCAGGGAACUCAGCGACACUGUCAAGCAUAACAGUUGCAUGACAGGGAUUCCAGAAGGAGGAGAAAGAGAAAGGGGGGCAGAUUUGUCUGAAGAAAGAAUAGCUAAGAACUUCCUGAAUCUGGGGAAGGUAGGAGAAAUCCAGAUCCAGGAGGCACAGAGAGUCCCCAGCAAAACCAACCCAAAGAGGACUGCACCAAGACACAAAGAAGAUGGCCAAAAGUAUUGUUAAAGAGAGAUUUUUUUAAAAAAGAUUUUAUUUAUUCAUUUGACAGAGAUCACAAGUAGGCAGAGAGGCAGGCAGAGAGAGAGGAGGAAGCAGGCUCCCCGCUGAGCAGAGAACGAGAUGAUUGGGACCCUGGGAUCAGGACCUGAGCCUAAGGCAGAGGCUUUAACCCACUAAGCCACCACCCAGGCGCCCGAUAAAGAGAGAAUUUUAAAAGGAGCAAGAGAAAGGAAAGCAGUGAUAUACAAGAGAAACCCCAUACAGCUAUCAGUGGCUUUUUCAGCAGAAACUCUGCAGGCCAGAAGAAAGUGGCAUGAUAAAUUCCAAUGGCUGAGAGGAGAAAAUCUAGAGCCAAGAAUACUCUAUCCAGCAAGGCUUUCAUUUAGAAUAGAAGGAGAGGUGGAGUCAGAAAAAAGAGAAGUUAAAAGCAAAACCAGCCAAGUUCCUGUCACCCGGGAUGCCAUCGGCCUGUGGGUCCCAAAUUCACAGUCCAGCUGCUCUCCUGCCCGAGCGAGCGUGCCAUGGCCUGCCACCUGCUCAGUGCCAAGUCAACACGCCUUCACCACAGACUGACGAGGACUCAAACUGACACUCUUCCCCUCAAAUUUCAGCCCCUGUACUCAAGUUUGUGCGCAAAAGUGGGCAUAAUUAUAACAGUAGGACGAAGUAUCCCCAACAGUGACACUAAUUCUGUGGAAUAUUAUCACGGAUAAAAGGAGUGUGCUAGGCUGAGAACAUCUCCAACAUUCACAUCAAAGAACAUACAGCAUGAGGCUAAUUACUAAAAGAAUCCCAAGAAAAAUAAAACCGGAUGAAAUCAGAGAGGGAGA
Long non-coding RNA from Lutra lutra (Eurasian river otter), 2319 nucleotides. RefSeq lists it as uncharacterized. The record is from RefSeq and is a predicted model, not a curated record. The transcript is spliced from 2 exons. Lineage: Eukaryota; Metazoa; Chordata; Mammalia; Carnivora; Mustelidae.